Homo sapiens (human) is the source of this 231-nucleotide long non-coding RNA. RefSeq lists it as uncharacterized. The transcript is spliced from 2 exons. Lineage: Eukaryota; Metazoa; Chordata; Mammalia; Primates; Hominidae. The record is from RefSeq and is a predicted model, not a curated record.
AGACUGUGCUUGGCACUCUUGGGGAAUCGUGGGGCAGCUGCUCCAAGGAGGAGAGCUGCAAAGGGAGGUCUUGGCACCCUCCCUGGCAAGAGGAGCGGGCUGGAGCAACUAUGGAGGGAUCUCCCUGGAAUUGGAUCAUCUGAGAAGCUCUGCUAUAGAAUGCGUCAUCCUGCCCAGCACACAGGAGGCUCUCAGGCUAUGUUUGUUGAAUAAAUGAACAAUGGAAAGUCA